GAGAUUUUCUCCCACAAACAUAGAAGCUUUUGAUGAUAACAGAGAGGAAGGCAAGGCGUUAUUAUAUCUGGAACAAAUGGUCUUGCUGUUUGACUGCUUCUGCUUUAGAAGUUGUCCAUUGCUUUAAAUUCUCUUGUUCAAAGACCCUUUUUUAACUUGUAUGUUUUUCAUGCAAGGGGACUGGUUUCUCCCUCAGAUCUCAGCUCAGAAGAUAUCUCCAGGAAGGAGUAGGGGAUGGAUUUAAUCACAGAGGACACGGGCCCGAGUUUCUACAAAGCCUGCAAGGUGACAUGGAGGAUGACAGCACUUACAUUGCACCUUCACCACAUCUCACUCAGCCUUAUAGAUAGGCAGGACUCAGCAACCCCAGGCUGCAAAUGACAAUACUGAAUCACAAAAGGAAGAGCAGUCACACCUAACAAGAGCCAAAUUACGCAUACUGGUACAAAGAAGAAAGUGCAGAGAGCAGUCACUGAGCUCUUGAAGUCUCCUUCAAUACAAGGUGGAAAGGGUGAAUGGACACCAGGCUCAUCUCUCCAUCUACAGAACAAUCAUACUGUUACGUGAUGCAGUGGAGUAUAUUGGAGUGAUGCAAGUGAAGUUCUUUGUGAUCCUGGGAUAGGAAGGGCUGCAGAAACUGCUUUCCUAAGCUUGU
Molecule: long non-coding RNA, 655 nt
Organism: Neopelma chrysocephalum (saffron-crested tyrant-manakin)
Lineage: Eukaryota; Metazoa; Chordata; Aves; Passeriformes; Pipridae
Exons: 4
Source: RefSeq, a predicted model, not a curated record